This is a long non-coding RNA of Notolabrus celidotus (New Zealand spotty), 839 nucleotides long. RefSeq lists it as uncharacterized. The record is from RefSeq and is a predicted model, not a curated record. NCBI's taxonomy places the organism in Eukaryota, Metazoa, Chordata, Actinopteri, Labriformes, Labridae. The transcript is spliced from 2 exons.
AAUUAUUGUACAAAGCCAUUUCAAAACUCUGGCUAUUGUUUAUCAAUGAAGUUGUAAAGGCUUAUAAAAUACUCAAAGUUAAUUAAAUUCGAUUCAUUCUAACACCUCAGCGUAAGGAAGAAGUCGGAUCUAUGUAAUUAAGUUGCUUUAGAAAUAUGUCAAGGUAAUAAGACAGACUCAGUCCUGGCUGUGGCACCUAUCUGUGAAGAAGCUCACACUAAAGUGCAGCUCACUGUGCCACUGCGUGAAAUUACACUAAAAAGCCUAUUUUUCCCCCUCUCAUGCGCGCUCAUGAGCACGCGUUCACGUUUGGCAGCUCCACGUCGACAUUCUUCCAGCUGCAUAUAGUGAAGUGCACAGGACUGGGGGAAGAAAAGGUAAAAGCGGCGACGGCCACCUUACGACUGGAGCGCUGCAAGUCCGCAGACGGACACCGACCGCAGUGAAAACAGGCGUUUGCAGAGUGAAUCCGGCUAUGGCUUGCAAAGUGCUCACAUCGCUUUCUGCUUUUGCAUUUUUGUGAUCCAGACUACUUGCCCCCUCGUGUUGGAUUGCAGCUGGUUCCUUUGCGUCUACCUUCAUCAGGAUAAGGAGCAGCCAUGAGGAGGAUAAGGUCCUGCACAAGGACAAACCUAUGAGGUGGCACUGUGGCUUUCCAAAUAAAGUUCUGUGAUACACUUAGACUCUAAUUGCUCGCAGUCAGUGCAUUACAGAACUUUGUUUUGGGAGUUAAUACUUUAGCCUGUGGGAAAAAUCCUCCAACAUCUGGACAUUUAAAUUUACUGCAGUGGUGACACAUGAACUGUUUUCUAAAAUAAAGUUUCCUUCUGUUUCAAGCA